UUACUGAAGUGGUAGUUAUAUAUAUUCUUCAGCAUCCAUGACUUCACUAGUCCUGGGUAGUUAGUUCACUAGGUUUCCAGUAAUAAGUAUGAGUUCCUGGUCCUACCAGAGAGCUGUUGGUUACUGCAGUGUGUGAGGGCAGCCACUGGAUGACAAGGGUUAUCAUGCCAUGCUGGGAAUUGUGGUUCAUAGGCAUCACUGCGUAGGGAGGACUAUUUGUUGCUUCCUUCCAUUGGAAGCUUAACAUGGCCUUCUCUGGUACCAUGAAAAUGAGUUCUCGGGGUGGAGCUGUCCGGUAAGAUGGAGCUCAGAGCUUCUGAUCAUGUGACUUGUAGGACAUCUCCAGGCACAGGGAGUUAACUUCCACCUCUAAAGGACAACCAAGGGCCAUAGCCUAUGGUAUUUUGGGAGUCUUAGACACCUCUGAUAAACUCAGAGGACGACUUCCUUCUCAUGACUGAUAUUUGGGACUUUGCUAGACAGUCCAUGGCCUUUGUGGGGAGCGUUGCCAGCUCAGAUAGCAAAAGGUUCAUUUAAGCUUUAUAUAUUUAUACAGGGACUAUUGUGUAUUGUAGGUGUUUAUGUACAUAGUUAUGUACAUUUAUGAUGAUCCCUCUUCCAUUUUUUUCAUUCUUACUGUUCUUUUGCUUUUAUUUCAUUCCUCCUCCUUAAAUAGAACCCCCCACACUUCCACCUUCAGAGGACACAUACCCCACCAUUUCCUUCUUGUACCCCUGAGUUACCCCCUUUCCCUUUUCCGCUUCCUAUAGUCACCACAGGCUAUGUAUCCACAUGUGAAGACUGGGAACUGGGAGCCUCCAGUGAAUGAGAACACGGCACUCUUUUUUUUUUUUUUUUUGAUGCAAUAUCUCAUGAGGUUUAACCGGGAGUCAGCAUGCUGAGGUUGAGCUCAUAACCCGCACAGGGGCAGAGAAGAUUGACCCCCAUAAGUUGCUGUUGGGGGCUUUUUGAAGGAAAAAAAACACAAAGAAAGGGGAGGAUAAGACCACAAAGAAUGGGGAAGCUGAGUAAGUACCAUAAGAAUGGGGGUGAUGAGGUUCAGCUCAUCUUUGAUGUAAGGAUUAUAGGCUAUCUUUGGCAAACAUUCCACAAGGGAUGGGGAAGUUGAGUAAACAUAAGAAUGGGGUUGAUGAGUUAUAGCUCAUCUCCGGCGGAGGGGUUACAGGCUAUCUUUGGCAAACAUUCCUGGUCCCUAACACAAUGAGUCAGGCGCCUGGGUGGGUCACCCAGUGGUCUUUGGCUUCUCAGGCUGCCUGGUAAGAGAACAAAGAGCUUUAUGCUGGCUUUGUUUCUAGGGGUCUGGGAGACAUAGUGAGUUGGGGGUCUUACAUUCCCCACUCCUAGUAAAUAGUUCUAGUCAUAGAACUAGAAAAAUUAAACCUUUGACUCAGUACAGCCCGUAUCAGCCUGUUCUACUUUUUGAUAUUGUUGGCAUAGCAUAAGAACCUGUACAGUGUUAACCUGCUGCCUGACAAAAGCCAUUAUCUUGUUAAUUAUGCAGGAGCCUAUAGUAAGUAAUAGAAGCAAGAUUAAUAAGGGGCCCAUGAGGGCAGAUAGUAAAGUAGUUAUCCAUGGGGAUUUUGUGAACCAACCUUCAAACCAUCCUUCAUUAGCUUCUCGCUCUCAUUUUCAUUUUUCUAACCUUUCUCUGAGUUUAGCCAUAGAGUCUCUAAUUGCCCCUGAGUGGUCAAUAUAGAAGCAGAACUCUUCUUUUAGGGUCACACAUAGUUCUCCUUCUUUGAGGAAUAAUAAAUCUAAGCCUCUCCUAUUCUGUAAGACUACUUCAGAGAGUGAAGUCAAAGACUUCUAACUGACUGACUUUUCUAAAGCCUUAAUGUCUACUGUUAUUGCUGCGUGAGGUCCUUCUAGACCUUGUUUCAGUUGUUGAGGUCCAGUUACCAAGGCAGAGGUCCCCAUACCGACCCCAGGGCUAGUCCCAAACCCAUGACCAUUGCGAGGGUGAGGGAGAUAGGCUCUCUCGUCUUUCUGGUAUUUUUGAAAUCAUAAGCGCCUAGGACCUCGUUAUCAGGGUGGUAGUAUAUCCUAGGGACUAAUUGCGUUAACACACAAAAAUCUUUCGACUGAUCGAAAACAGCCGUAGCAACACAGUCAAUCUGGAGCUGCAAGCCCACCAAUAAUGGUUGCCAGGCCAAAGAAAUUGGUUUUUAGAAGAAGCAGGAAUAAUCCAGGUAUGGUUGCAGAGGUGUCUAUGAGAAGGAGGUACAACUCCUAUACAUUUCCCUGAUCCUGAAAUUUCAUCUAAGGUGAGCCUAUUCUUGGAUUGCCCCCAGGGGCAGAGGCUUGCAUCUGAAGUCAUAGUAGUUGAUCCAUCUACUGCCGUUCCUUCAUAAUAAGGGGGCCUGGCUGCCAAACAGAGCCAACAUGAGGUCACAGUUCUAGGAUUUGUAACAUUGAGAGCCUUAGAAGCCCCUUGAAUGAGACUAAAGAGUCUUUCACCAGCAGUAGGAGGCUGGGUGGAGGUUCCUGCACUGGGAACGAUUGUCCCCUGGGGUUGGGGCUCAGGAAUCUUAGAAGGAGGGGGUGGUGGUACUUGUCGAGGAGGAGUCUCCUGUACCUUGUCCGGCCCAGUAAGAUGGUGGGAGGGCUCUCAACCCUGAGGCAAAUGUGGAAAGUGAAGCCAUUGUCCCAUCCUUGCAUGUAAAAUCUGAGCCCCCAGGAAUCAUCGUGGGCUAUGGGAGGGGCUGCUUUCACGUGGGACACGUGGAUCCAAGCUGGGAUGCCGUCAACUUUGAUGGUGGUGGGACUUGUCAGAAGCACCAGGGCAGCCUCGAGCAUCAAGAUGAAAAACCCAUGAAGAAAAAAAGUUCACCAGCCAGCACUCCACGAGACACUAGUCUCAGCCCCAAACUGGAAUCACCUACUGAACAGACAACAAGACCAAGAGCCACUGUGUGGUGGAUAGCUUUGCUAGGAUCCACCAGUCAGUACAACUAAAGCCUUCACUUAACCCGGGCGCGGCUGUGCUUGUUUGUUGUAAAUUGGAGAAGCUAUCUUUACUGGGAAUAUCCGGUACAUCUAGCACAGGGGCAUCUCCAGUGUGUCUUUUGGGAUAGUGAGUUCUGAGUCAAAGCAUAGGAUUUAAUAAGAGGAGUGAAGGGACAGAUGUCAUUUCAAUCAUCCUGUCUCCUGGACACCACUGUACAGUGCACAGAUAACAGCCAUUAGCUUUUAGGCAGUUGUAGAG
Long non-coding RNA from Mus musculus (house mouse), 3226 nucleotides. RefSeq annotates it as predicted gene, 46000. The transcript has 3 exons. Lineage: Eukaryota; Metazoa; Chordata; Mammalia; Rodentia; Muridae. The record is from RefSeq and is a predicted model, not a curated record.